This 253-nucleotide ribosomal RNA is filed under the name uncultured bacterium. RNAcentral describes it as "partial 16S ribosomal RNA". It matches the Rfam family "Bacterial small subunit ribosomal RNA", at positions 524 to 776 of the family's 1533-position model. The record is from RNAcentral.
UACGUAGGAUGCUAGCGUUGUCCGGAUUUACUGGGCGUAAAGCGCGCGCAGGCGGCAUACCAAGUACGGUGUGAAAUCUCCCUGCUCAACGGGGAGGGUGCAUUGUAAACUGGUAAGCUAGAGGACGGUAGAGGGGGGUAGAAUUGCUGGUGUAGCGGUGAAAUGCGUAGAGAUCAGCAGGAAUACCCGUGGCGAAGGCGGCCCCCUGGGCCGAACCUGACGCUGAGGCGCGAAGGCUAGGGGAGCGAACGGG